UAAGGAAUAUUGGUCAAUGGACGAAAGUCUGAACCAGCCAUGCCGCGUGCAGGAUGACGGCCCUAUGGGUUGUAAACUGCUUUUAUACGGGAAGAAACCCCUCUACGUGUAGAGGGUUGACGGUACUGUAAGAAUAAGGACCGGCUAACUUCGUGCCAGCAGCCGCGGUAAUACGAAGGGUCCAAGCGUUAUCCGGAUUUAUUGGGUUUAAAGGGUGCGUAGGCGGCUUAUUAAGUCAGUGGUGAAAGACUUCAGCUUAACUGAAGAACUGCCAUUGAUACUGAUGAGCUUGAAUAUACUUGAGGUGGGCGGAAUGUGUCAUGUAGCGGUGAAAUGCUUAGAUAUGACACAGAACACCGAUUGCGAAGGCAGCUCGCUAAAGUAUCAUUGACGCUGAUGCACGAAAGCGUGGGGAGCAAACAG
Molecule: ribosomal RNA, 423 nt
Filed under: uncultured bacterium
Lineage: Bacteria
Description: bacterial SSU rRNA
Rfam family: Bacterial small subunit ribosomal RNA
Source: RNAcentral